UGGAGUAAGAAUUUGAAGCCCAGCCGCGUGAUUGGCCCAGGAGCACUGGCGAAAAUGGGUCCCCCUUGAAGCAUGAUGUUUCAAAGGUGGUCCUAUGUGUUUAGAUGGUCCAAGGCAGCUGACUGCAGAACCCCAAGGAGCCCCAAGGCUAGUGCUGGCUCACUAGUGGUGGGCAGAGUCGGGGUCCAGAAGACUCUGGUGCAGUUGCCAGCCCAAUGUCAUCAGAGAGCAGACAUCAAAACUUCAGAUGUAAGAAGAAUUCUGGGCUAAAAAUACCUUGAAGUCACCGGCCUGCAUGUGACAAUCAAAGCCUUGGAUGGAUGUGACACUUCAGGGAGACAAUAGAGUGGGAAACAGACUUGGAAUUGAGUCUGCCAAGAACUUCAGGAUCCACUGACGACAAAGAAGAGCAAGUGGAAUACUAGUGGAACUAAACCCAGAAGUCCUAACCUUGGCCUCAUCGAUAGCUGAGUACCCGAAAUUCCUCCCAGGAAGCGAAGUCACUAAGACAGUUCUCCGAGACGGAAUACACAUGUGCAUACACAGAAAACCCACAAGGUAGCAACAUCUCUGCAAACACAGUGAAGAGUAAAACCAGGCAAAUAUGGAGUUCACUGGAUGGAUACUUUGGAUUCAGCCUUUAAUGCUCCUUCGUGGAAAGGCCUUCGUGGAAAUGGCCAUGUAUGCCUGGAAACUGUAACAGCCCCUUUGGCUGCCGUAUACAGAGGACCUGAAUGACAACAAUGGCAUCCUAAAAAAGAACAGACAAGUGAAGGUUUUCUGGUGGAUCCGGAACAUCUGAUUAAUAAUGAAAAAUAAUGGUGAGGAGAAGGCAGAUCAUUGCCUUUGUCGAUCCCACUUCCUCACUCAGGCACACUGCAAGCCCCCUUCUCUUCGGGGCCCGUCUCCACUCUGAACUGCCAAAUCUCACCAAUCC
Balaenoptera ricei (Rice's whale) is the source of this 937-nucleotide long non-coding RNA. RefSeq lists it as uncharacterized. Lineage: Eukaryota; Metazoa; Chordata; Mammalia; Artiodactyla; Balaenopteridae. The transcript is spliced from 7 exons. The record is from RefSeq and is a predicted model, not a curated record.